This is a long non-coding RNA of Sapajus apella (tufted capuchin), 207 nucleotides long. RefSeq lists it as uncharacterized. The record is from RefSeq and is a predicted model, not a curated record. NCBI's taxonomy places the organism in Eukaryota, Metazoa, Chordata, Mammalia, Primates, Cebidae. The transcript has 3 exons.
UAUUUCUUUCUCUUAAAAAAAAAAAGAAGAAUCUAUGACCCUUUCAACUCUUUACCUAUUUCAAAACUCAAUACUUAUCAUCCCACUGUGCAAAAACAGAGGGCACUGAAAUACAAUUAAAAACACAUUACGGUCUGGGCACAGUGGCUCACGCCUGUUAUCCCAGCACUUUGGGAAGCGGCGGUGGGUGGAUCCCAAGGUCAGGAG